RNAcentral lists this ribosomal RNA (761 nucleotides) under Escherichia coli. RNAcentral describes it as "partial 23S ribosomal RNA". It matches the Rfam family "Bacterial large subunit ribosomal RNA", at positions 419 to 1180 of the family's 2925-position model. Lineage: Bacteria; Pseudomonadati; Pseudomonadota; Gammaproteobacteria; Enterobacterales; Enterobacteriaceae. The record is from RNAcentral.
GGGACACGUGGUAUCCUGUCUGAAUAUGGGGGGACCAUCCUCCAAGGCUAAAUACUCCUGACUGACCGAUAGUGAACCAGUACCGUGAGGGAAAGGCGAAAAGAACCCCGGCGAGGGGAGUGAAAAAGAACCUGAAACCGUGUACGUACAAGCAGUGGGAGCACGCUUAGGCGUGUGACUGCGUACCUUUUGUAUAAUGGGUCAGCGACUUAUAUUCUGUAGCAAGGUUAACCGAAUAGGGGAGCCGAAGGGAAACCGAGUCUUAACUGGGCGUUAAGUUGCAGGGUAUAGACCCGAAACCCGGUGAUCUAGCCAUGGGCAGGUUGAAGGUUGGGUAACACUAACUGGAGGACCGAACCGACUAAUGUUGAAAAAUUAGCGGAUGACUUGUGGCUGGGGGUGAAAGGCCAAUCAAACCGGGAGAUAGCUGGUUCUCCCCGAAAGCUAUUUAGGUAGCGCCUCGUGAAUUCAUCUCCGGGGGUAGAGCACUGUUUCGGCAAGGGGGUCAUCCCGACUUACCAACCCGAUGCAAACUGCGAAUACCGGAGAAUGUUAUCACGGGAGACACACGGCGGGUGCUAACGUCCGUCGUGAAGAGGGAAACAACCCAGACCGCCAGCUAAGGUCCCAAAGUCAUGGUUAAGUGGGAAACGAUGUGGGAAGGCCCAGACAGCCAGGAUGUUGGCUUAGAAGCAGCCAUCAUUUAAAGAAAGCGUAAUAGCUCACUGGUCGAGUCGGCCUGCGCGGAAGAUGUAACGGGG